Molecule: RNA transcript, 1145 nt
Organism: Brassica oleracea var. oleracea
Lineage: Eukaryota; Viridiplantae; Streptophyta; Magnoliopsida; Brassicales; Brassicaceae
Gene name: nuclear transcription factor Y subunit B-3-like
Exons: 2
Source: RefSeq, a predicted model, not a curated record
GAUAUGAUCAAAGCCACGUGUAACAAAUCUUAUCGACAGACGAACGACCAAUAACUACUCACGUGUCACCACGAUCCGAUUAUUAUCCUCUCGAUCCAACGGACCCAAUACACUCUCUCUUCCUCUCUCUCUCUAGCGGCGACCUCCGAUUUACCGUUAGAUCUGAGAUGGCGGAUUCCGACAACGAUUCAGGCGGCCACAAGGACGGAGGCGGCGCGUCGUCGCGUGAGCAGGAUAGGUUUCUGCCGAUCGCGAACGUGAGCCGGAUCAUGAAGAAAGCAUUGCCGGGGAACGCGAAGAUCUCCAAGGACGCGAAGGAGACCGUGCAGGAGUGCGUAUCGGAGUUCAUCAGCUUCGUCACCGGCGAGGCGUCCGACAAGUGUCAGAGAGAGAAGAGGAAGACGAUCAACGGCGACGAUCUUCUCUGGGCGAUGACGACGCUAGGGUUCGAGGAUUACGUGGAGCCGUUGAAGGUCUACCUGCAGAAGUACAGGGAGUUGGAAGGGGAGAGGAUGACGACGGGGAGACAGGGGGAUAAGGAAGGUGGCGGCGGCGGAGGAAAUGGAAGCUCCGGGGGAUCCGGAGGAGGGAUGUACGGUGGGAUUGUGACGAUGGGGCAUCAUCAUCAAGGACACGUGUACGGUGGAAGUGGGAUAAAUUAGAGAAUGAGAUACGUCUCUGCUCUCUCCUUGCGGCAGCUCUGACUUGGUUAACUCGAAAUGGCUCUCACAGGAGAAUACUAUAUGCAAUAUGGGUGUUAUACGCCAUUUAAGAGCCCGUAUACUCAUAAACUAUUAUAAUUUCGGUGAGAUUAUAGCACACUGUACACGUUGCUAGGUUCCCAGCUUAGAUUAUAUUGGUCGUAUCUCCUUGCUAGCCAAAUACAAAAAGAGUCACUCAAAGAUUAGUGUUGUAGAGGGUGGAUUCGACAUCCCUCGAGGCCCGAAGAACAGACGGCCCAGCCCACUCAGAACGAAACGGUGUCUCGGCUUGACGGCUCGAAACGCGCGUCUAAGCGUCCUCGACUCAACAGCUACUCGAGACAAUGUGGGCUUCUCGGCCCAACGAGUCAAAAGCCCACGGAGACGACGCAAACUAGGUCACGGGAGAGUACGAGGUCAACUAUAUAAAGGGAAGGGAACGCA